ACUCCAUCUCACGUCAGUCAUGAGAGGUUGUUCAUGUAGACGAUGUGGACCUUCAUCUUCAUGAUUUCAUCAUUACGUUGGAAAAAGAUAUGGCGACCACGUUACGAGGUGUCGGGUAACGACUAACGAGAGGCGAUUUACCGGUUUACAAUUAAUGCUGUAUCAAAACAGCAGUACAAAGCCCCGUGAAAUGUGGAUUGUGGUCGGGGAGAAGAACAGUUUUCCACAGUUAAACUGUAAUAUUUGGAUUGCACAGUCUGGAAUAAAUUGUUGGUGGUGGUGAUUGUUGUGAAAAAACUAUUGCCGUUGAGUACUGUAAGAUGUGGUACUACACAUCGACAAGCUGUGCUGCUCAUCAGUUUGAACAGUUGAUUGCAGUUUUUCCACUACUGAAUUUGAAAAGGCCCUUUGUCAAGAGAAAAAUCCAAUCUAAAACAAGAAAUUGAGACAGGCACCAGCCAAUCCUUUCUGGAAUUUUGCUAUGGACGUCUUUCAAAUGAUCGUCAAUGUUAAGAAAGGAGAAGAAUCUGAACCCAAAGUAAAGCUUGAAGAACCAUCUACUACCGAUAUACCAAUAACCAACGGAACUUAUUCCAUGCACUCCAAGACGGCAUUAUUAUGGCGUGCUCUUGCAGACUCAUGACAAUGACUUACGACGGUUCUGGUGGAGUCAUCAAGGAGGAAAGCAGUGGUAACCCUCACCAAAUCAAAAUCCUUCACCAACCGACAUCAUUUUCAAGUUUGGCAUGAGAGGCCGACAUAUGUUUGCGGUCUGUAAGAGCAUGGCGUCAGAGAAGAGACAUCGCAAAUGUUACUUUUUCAAGUUCACUUUAGCAAACCUUUAUUACUUCCAUAUCCCAGACCCAGAGCAAUGGCCCAAAAUACCAGAUCUAGAAACCCAAAGUUGAUGAAAUUUGUCUCUAGGAUUAAUUGAGUUCUACAGUAUCACAACGAAAAGCAUCUAGCACGAUGUCGUUUAAGACUUCCCAUUGGCCAGACCUCUGUUCAGAAUGUCUCGGAUUUCCGCGCAAACGACAUCAAAUCGUUGAGUGAAUUAUCUUUGAAAGUUUGAACCCUCUGUGCAUGUCUCGCUGAGAAGAAAUGGUGACCAAAGCCGGCAACCUAGGCAUAGACAGUCUAAUCGGACAAGGAAUUCACCCCAUCUCGUCCACGAUUGCGUAAACGCAAGUUACUAUUAGCAUUACAACAAGACGAACGAAAAAGCUCCUGCUAAUACGACCACCUCAUCUUUCUCGACUUGAGGGCCACUAGAUACGUUGGGACUGGAGAACACCACUCCUGCAACACCACUCCUGCAACAAACUAAUGUUGUUCAACUCGAUUGGUGUUUACGCAGCCGGAACAACUGGAAUUCCCAUGGGUCGGCGUAUUCAUCACCAUUCAUUCACCACCAUAAAUGGUAAAACAUAUUUUAGGUUGAUCGCGCAAUAAUAAGUUCAGCUUCGGGACUCCUCCCUAGCUGUACUAAUUGGAGUAAUUGCUCUCCUUGCCUCCGCAACUCCAAUCAAUGUCUUCUGGAGAAUACCGUAUCGCUUCACUGAGAUGUAUAUACUUUGACAUUCCAAUGGCAAACUUGAAGGGAAAUGUGACGAUUCGAACGUUGUGAUUCGUUCACAGGACAAAGAAAUAUUAACGUUACCUCCGCAGUUUGAAGAAUUUUGAUCCCAAUUCUCAGCGGGUAGACUGGCGGUGGUUUGGUCAACUAAACGGCGGCUAAGCACGUCCGGAUGAUAAUCAGAUGUUGCUGGAUGAAUGAGACGCUGUGACCAUCUCCGAAUUCGUUAGGUUGUGUUCAGGGUUAACAGCCAGGUGAAAUCUCUUCUUCAUUACUGUCCAACACAACAUAUGGUUUUUGGCGGUUUUUGGUUGCGGCUAGCCGGUGAAAGGUGUCGUCAAAAGUUCAGCUGUUGCAUGGAGUCUGUGAUACUGGUAUUAUCCUGGAGUGGGUUGGUGUUCUGACAAAUAUUGUUCUGCUUGUUUGUGGUUAGUGUAUUGUUUGAUGUAGUCUAUGAUGUAGACUAUGAUGUAGACACGUGCAUAUCUGGGCUUCCUUCUGUGGCCCCGUUUACUUAACUAACCAUUAACCAACGCCAGCCGGUUGUCACUCACCUGCUGUGAAACUAGGAGAAGGGCUCUGGUGAAACGGGGACUAGGAUAGCGCGUGAUCUGAUGAAAACUUUUGUAGAGUUAUGAGUGUAACCCGGAAGUCUACUAUAUCUAAUUGCUCCCUAGUAAAACUGGCCUCGCACUCUUCUUCCUUGUUCAGGUAAUCUCCCUGAGCACAAUUAAACAAGGCAUAGUCUCCCCUGUCUUGAUUGACUAAAUUGGGCAAGGAAAUUUCAUAUUGAUAAAAUUAAUGCAAUGAUGGUAAAAUAUAAAUGUGUACGAUGAGGGAUGAUAAACAUAUGUACAAAAAAAUGUCAAUAAGAUUGUAAACAGUUAUUUUUCUUUACAGUGCUGUGUAGUGUAUAAAUAUCGAAAUAUCCCAACACAUGAUCUGUUGCUUUCUUCA
Molecule: long non-coding RNA, 2533 nt
Filed under: Daphnia pulex (common water flea)
Lineage: Eukaryota; Metazoa; Arthropoda; Branchiopoda; Diplostraca; Daphniidae
Description: uncharacterized LOC124196427, transcript variant X3
Source: RNAcentral